RNAcentral lists this ribosomal RNA (150 nucleotides) under Clostridium chauvoei. RNAcentral's name for it is "partial 16S ribosomal RNA". It matches the Rfam family "Bacterial small subunit ribosomal RNA", at positions 67 to 215 of the family's 1533-position model. The record is from RNAcentral. Lineage: Bacteria; Bacillati; Bacillota; Clostridia; Eubacteriales; Clostridiaceae.
CGAGGAGAGUUCCUUCGGGAACAAACCUAGCGGCGGACGGGUGAGUAACACGUGGGCACCUGCCUUGUAGAGGGGAAUAGCCUUCCGAAAGGAAGAUUAAUACCGCAUAAUAUUGCAGCUUCGCAUGGAGCAGUAAUUAAAGGAGCAAUC